This 305-nucleotide ribosomal RNA is filed under the name uncultured bacterium. RNAcentral's name for it is "bacterial SSU rRNA". It matches the Rfam family "Bacterial small subunit ribosomal RNA", at positions 338 to 659 of the family's 1533-position model. The record is from RNAcentral.
CCUACGGGAGGCAGCAGUGAGGGGUAUUGGGCAAUGGGGGAAACCCUGACCCAGCGACGCCGCGUGAGGGAAGACGGUCUUCGGAUUGUAAACCUCUGUCUUUGGGGACGAAAAAGGACGGUACCUGACUAAGAAGCCCCGGCUAACUACGUGCCAGCAGCCGCGGUAAUACGUAGGGGGCAAGCGUUAUCCGGAUUUACUGGGUGUAAAGGGAGCGUAGACGGCGCGGCAAGUCUGAAGUGAAAGGCAGGGGUUUAACCCCUGAACUGCUUUGGAAACUGCCAUGCUAGAGUGCUGGAGAGGUA